UACGGGGGGGGCAAGCGUUGUUCGGAAUUACUGGGCGUAAAGGGCUCGUAGGCGGCCUUCUUAGUCGGACGUGAAAUCCCCGGGCUUAACUCGGGAACUGCGUCCGAUACUGGAAGGCUGGAGUUCGGGAGAGGAAUGUGGAAUUCCAGGUGUAGCGGUGAAAUGCGUAGAUAUCAGGAGGAACACCGAUGGCGAAGGCAGGUCUCUGGGCUGACACUGACGCUCAUGCACGAAAGCGUGGGGAGCAAACAGG
RNAcentral lists this ribosomal RNA (253 nucleotides) under uncultured bacterium. RNAcentral's name for it is "partial 16S ribosomal RNA". It matches the Rfam family "Bacterial small subunit ribosomal RNA", at positions 524 to 776 of the family's 1533-position model. The record is from RNAcentral.